UUGGUCCUGGACCUAGCAUACAAUGUAGAUUUCUGUGUGGUUUAAACUACAGCUACAUUGUCUGCUGGGUUUCAGGCUGGCAAC
This 84-nucleotide microRNA precursor is filed under the name Salmo salar (Atlantic salmon). RNAcentral describes it as "mir-221 microRNA precursor family". It matches the Rfam family "mir-221 microRNA precursor family". Lineage: Eukaryota; Metazoa; Chordata; Actinopteri; Salmoniformes; Salmonidae. RNAcentral also lists the same sequence under 1 other name. The record is from Rfam by way of RNAcentral.